Mastomys coucha (southern multimammate mouse) is the source of this 525-nucleotide long non-coding RNA. RefSeq lists it as uncharacterized. The transcript is spliced from 2 exons. The record is from RefSeq and is a predicted model, not a curated record. NCBI's taxonomy places the organism in Eukaryota, Metazoa, Chordata, Mammalia, Rodentia, Muridae.
CUUAACGGUAGUCUCCGGCUCAAUUAAAAUGUAAGGAGUGGAGGGAGCCAUCAGCUGAGGAAUGCUUUGAAAAGCUCAGACCGCUUUCAGAAAACAGGAGGUUCCCUGAAAUACCCACAACAGACCUAGACAUUUUAUGCUGAAGAAAAUGUGUGAGGUCCAAAAUCCACACUUCCAAAACUGAAAUCCUAAGACUUGAAUUAUCACAGAAAAGAAUGAUCUCUUGAACUCUGCACAGACACAUGACUGAUCCAGGCUGGAAGAGCUGAGAGAAGUGUAGAAGCAGGAUUCAGGAUUCAGGAUUCAGGAUGCAGGACCAGUGUGAAAACUCAUGAGGACCUUCAGGACAUCGACUACACUUUAUGAAGAAAUGCUAUGUUUUUGAGAUGAAAAAAAAAAAAAUAGAGGAGAUUCCUGGGUAGACUGAACACUGAUAUACGUGGGGGAACUGACUUUACUAGAUCACGUUUCUGCAAGGGACAAAGAAUAAAUUCUCUGAAAAAAAAAAUAAAUAGAAGAAACAGC